UGUGCAAGUAUGAAAGUAAAGAUGAGCAUGCUGAUAGUCGCCUCUCUAUUCUAUCCAUGAUUGGACUCAAAUCCUCAAUCUUGGGUUUGGUGGUUCCCAUUGGUAAUCCCAAGUAGGUGAAUGGCAUGGUCCCUAUAUGACACCCAAAAGCAGUUGCAAGCCUUUCCAUCUUUUCUUCCGACACAUGAAUUAGAACCAUGAUUGAUUUGCGGAAGUUGACCUUGAGCCCAGUGGAGAUUGCAAAAGUAUC
This 250-nucleotide long non-coding RNA is filed under the name Setaria viridis. RNAcentral's name for it is "long non-coding RNA (SVIR_LNC008041)". Lineage: Eukaryota; Viridiplantae; Streptophyta; Magnoliopsida; Poales; Poaceae. The record is from RNAcentral.